UGUAGCAGUUUUUUCAUGAUGGAGAACAAAUAUGAAAGUAUUUAAGAUUACUGAGUAUUUAUUUAUUAAAUUGUGUUGGAUCAGGAGCAGAUGAAAACUCACGGUUCAAAAAACGUACAUUUGCAACACAGCAACAUCUAAAGUCUCCCUGCUCUGUCUGCUACAAUAGUGAUGCAUCCACUUGUAGACAAAUAACAUUUACCAUUAACAUCUUUAUUUUUGUCAUCUGAGCUGGAAUCUAGUUUAAAACUUUUUGGCUGGAUAGCUCUGAUAAAGCUUUUUUUUUUUUUUUUUUGCUAUGCUAAUGUUAGCUUGGGCUAACAAAACAAUAGAAAUGCAUGCUGGGAUUUUAAUGUAGGCUAAGGCUCAAUCUGAAUUUCCUCUUUUCCCUACCCGUCCAUUUGUAGUGCUAGGGUUGUCCGAAAUAGUUUUUUAAGGUGAAGCCCUCCAGGCGGAGGGAUACAGCGCCCUCCGCUGUGUGGGUGUUCCGCGUCGUGCUGUGCCGCGGAGGAGAAGCGCUUUUCUUCAAGCACAGAAGUUUACAUCUAAUUGAUCUUCCUCUCCUGGCUGAGUGACCGUCGGAUCUGCGGCACCUCGUGUGGAGACUGAAUGACGUCCAGACUCUUCACUUCAGUGCGGGCUUCCCGGUGACGAUGGCGUCUGUGCCUGGCGCCUUCUUCCGGCCCCUGACUGGACCUGAACUUCCGAGCCAUCCUGUGCCGGCCCCCUCCCGCCGUGCGGUGGUUCGGUCCUGCCGUUUUCUCUUCGCUCAGGGUCACGAGUGGUUGGGCCGCCGGGGGCUCGGGCAUCGGGAUGGUGAUGGACAUCGGCGGCUCAGGCAGGUGCUGCUCCAAAGCGAGGACCACACAGUUGGCAGUGAUGGUGGCCAGGAUCAUGUACUCAAAGGGUGUGAAGACCCAAAGGUUAAGGAGAA
Molecule: long non-coding RNA, 934 nt
Organism: Oryzias melastigma (Indian medaka)
Lineage: Eukaryota; Metazoa; Chordata; Actinopteri; Beloniformes; Adrianichthyidae
Exons: 3
Source: RefSeq, a predicted model, not a curated record